RNAcentral lists this unclassified non-coding RNA (325 nucleotides) under uncultured Bacillota bacterium. RNAcentral describes it as "uncultured Firmicutes bacterium partial 16S-23S ribosomal RNA intergenic spacer". Lineage: Bacteria; Bacillati; Bacillota. The record is from RNAcentral.
UCGGAACAUCUCGUAGAGAUGAUACGGAAUAACGUGACAUAUUGUAUUCAGUUUUGAAUGUUUAUUUUUAAACAUUCAUGAUUAAUUGAAUAUUGCAUUGACUAUUAUAUUUUGUUAUAAUACUUAAUUGUGAUUAUUAAUUAAUGACAUUGUACAUUGAAAACUAGAUAAGUAAGUAAAUAGAUUUUACCAAGCAAAACCGAGUGAAUAGAGUUUUAAAUAAGCUUGAAUUCAUAAAAAAUAAUCGCUAGUGUUCGAAAGAACACUCACAGAUUAAUAACUAUAUUAGAUUAAGUUAUUAAGGGCGCACGGUGGAUGCCUUGGC